AUCGCUUCUCGGCCUUUUGGCUAAGAUCAAGUGUAGUGUAGGACAACAUAUCAAUGUACAGUACAGCACAAUACAAGGCAUGGAUGAUACACCUGUUUCUGAACUUUACCAUUCAGAUGGGAGCUCAGAUGAUAUAAUAAUCUCUCUCUCUCUCUCUCUCUC
This 162-nucleotide small nuclear RNA is filed under the name Podarcis muralis (Common wall lizard). RNAcentral describes it as "U2 spliceosomal RNA (ENSPMRG00000000189.1)". It matches the Rfam family "U2 spliceosomal RNA". From Rfam's summary of the family: U2 is a small nuclear RNA (snRNA) component of the spliceosome (involved in pre-mRNA splicing). Complementary binding between U2 snRNA (in an area lying towards the 5' end but 3' to hairpin I) and the branchpoint sequence (BPS) of the intron results the bulging out of an unpaired adenosine, on the BPS, which initiates a nucleophilic attack at the intronic 5' splice site, thus starting the first of two transesterification reactions that mediate splicing. The record is from Rfam by way of RNAcentral. Lineage: Eukaryota; Metazoa; Chordata; Lepidosauria; Squamata; Lacertidae.